GAGUUUGAUCGUGGCUCAGAUUGAACGCUGGCGGCAGGCCUAACACAUGCAAGUCGGGCGGUAGAGAGAAGCUUGCUUCUCUUGAGAGCGGCGGACGGGUGAGUAAUGCCUAGGAAUCUGCCUGGUAGUGGGGGAUAACGCUCGGAAACGGACGCUAAUACCGCAUACGUCCUACGGGAGAAAGCAGGGGACCUUCGGGCCUUGCGCUAUCAGAUGAGCCUAGGUCGGAUUAGCUAGUUGGUGAGGUAAUGGCUCACCAAGGCGACGAUCCGUAACUGGUCUGAGAGGAUGAUCAGUCACACUGGAACUGAGACACGGUCCAGACUCCUACGGGAGGCAGCAGUGGGGAAUAUUGGACAAUGGGCGAAAGCCUGAUCCAGCCAUGCCGCGUGUGUGAAGAAGGUCUUCGGAUUGUAAAGCACUUUAAGUUGGGAGGAAGGGCAGUAAAUUAAUACUUUGCUGUUUUGACGUUACCGACAGAAUAAGCAACCGGCUAACUCUGUGCCAGCAG
Molecule: ribosomal RNA, 511 nt
Filed under: uncultured bacterium
Lineage: Bacteria
Description: bacterial SSU rRNA
Rfam family: Bacterial small subunit ribosomal RNA
Source: RNAcentral